Molecule: ribosomal RNA, 121 nt
Filed under: uncultured bacterium
Lineage: Bacteria
Description: partial 16S ribosomal RNA
Rfam family: Bacterial small subunit ribosomal RNA
Source: RNAcentral
CCUACGGGAGCCACCAGUGGGGAAUAUUCGCCAAUGGGGGCAACCCUGAUCCAGCAAUGCCGCGUGUGUGAAGAAGCCCUGCGGGUUGUAAACCACUUUCAGUAGAGAAGAAAAGCCGCAU